GCCUCUGGAAGGGGCAGUUCUGUCAGACGGCAGUCUGUCCCCGAUGUUGGCAGAAGGCUGACAGGUCUGGCUGCAGGAGACCCUGAGUACUUACUGCUGUCCAUCAAGCAAGGGAAAGGACCACCUCACAUGUCCAAACGGGGCUGGAUGUUGUCAAAUUCCUCGCGGCUGUCAGUCUCCUUUUCUCCAGCCUGGCGACAGGUGUCCCGACAGAGCCCAGUUACCAAAGGCAGUCAGCGACUGCUUGCGCGCCUUCCAGAGGAGCUCGUGUUCCAGCAUCAAAGACUGAAGCUUGUGCAUUGAGGAGGAAUCUGCAAGAAGUUAAGUAACUUGCUCAAGAGGCACAAAGCUUGUUAAUGGCAGAGUUGGGAUCUGAACUCUGGUCUGUCCAUUUCCACACCGCGGGGAGUUUGGUGCACGUCACUGAGAAGCACUUUGGCACUGAUACCAUGCAAAGAGCCGUGGAAACACAGAAGUCACUGCUUACAACAGUCUUCACAGAGGAAAUACUGCAAGUUUUGUGAGCUGAAUAUUGAGAUGCGUUCUGCAAUGUGGAGAAGGGCCGGGGGGCAUUCAAGUCAGCGCUGCAUUUGCAAAAGGCAGAGCAUGGGUAGGAAGAAGCGAGACUGUGCGGCUGCACACAGGGAACGGGUUCUAAGUCAGGCAGGUAAGAGGAUGGGGGAUGAUGUGCUCAGGCAAGUUAGAGUCAGAGUAUAGGUGAGGCACGAUUCUAUCCAACUUGGACAGCUUCCAGAGAAUUCUAUAAUAAGCCAGCUGCAUGGCCGGAAUGUGCACUUGUCUUUGCAGAGUUUGGCAGUGGAGAAAAAUCUUCUGGGGAAUAGUUCUCCUGUAAGGGAGACCCCUCCCUUCCCCCCACCUUCUUUGCCACCAGUACAGCAAACGUGUGACCUCCAGCAGUGUACCUUCCAGAAGAAAGUACUAGUUAAAUUAUCUUAAGGAACUUAGGCAACCAAUUGGACCCUUAAGGUCUUUGGGUUUCCUGCUUAUAAAGGUUCUGUCUUUGAUGCCCUCAUUGCUAGUAGCAGCUGCAUGGUUUGUGGAAGUUAAUGUCCCUUUUCUCAUCUCUGCAGAUUGAGGACACCACAAAAGAACGCUGCGGGGCGUACAGCCACAAACUUGACAUUUCUAGCUCCAGAUCUGCACAGGCAAUGGCUGUGCUGCAGGGACUGUCCCCUGUGCCCACUCCCUGGUCAUCUGAGUGGAUCUGUAUUGCUGUUUGGAAAUAUCAGCCUCUGUUGCACAUCUUCCAACCAGCUGGCCGGAGUGGGAGGUGGAGUCCCUUGCUAUGAAACAGAGCUUUACUUUGCUGAUAACGUGUGUCCGUAAUGUAUUGAAGGUAACUUAGAAAUGCUGUGAGCCCAAACUUCAUUUUAUGGAGGAAAAUAACUGAGGCUCAGAGACGUAGAGUGUCACGCUCGGGGUCACCCAGCAGCCCUGCCUUGUCCUAUGCAGUAGCCACUCCCCUCCUGUGCCCACGAAGCCCUUGAAAUGGGGCCAGUCUGACUGGAGUGUGCUUUCAGUGUAAAUACACACAGGAUUUCAUUGGCUCCGUAGGAACAUAAGUAUCUCAUUGAUAUUUUUUACAUUGAUUAUAUGUUGAAAUGAUGACAUUUUGGAAAC
This is a long non-coding RNA of Lynx canadensis (Canada lynx), 1641 nucleotides long. RefSeq lists it as uncharacterized. The transcript is spliced from 3 exons. The record is from RefSeq and is a predicted model, not a curated record. Lineage: Eukaryota; Metazoa; Chordata; Mammalia; Carnivora; Felidae.